GAACGCUAGCUACAGGCUUAACACAUGCAAGUCGAGGGGCAUCAGGAAGAAAGCUUGCUUUCUUUGCUGGCGACCGGCGCACGGGUGAGUAACACGUAUCCAACCUGCCCUUUACUCGGGGAUAGCCUUUCGAAAGAAAGAUUAAUACCCGAUAGCAUAAUGAUUCCGCAUGGUUUCAUUAUUAAAGGAUUCCGGUAAAGGAUGGGGAUGCGUUCCAUUAGGUUGUUGGUGAGGUAACGGCCCACCAAGCCUUCGAUGGAUAGGGGUUCUGAGAGGAAGGUCCCCCACAUUGGAACUGAGACACGGUCCAAACUCCUACGGGAGGCAGCAGUGAGGAAUAUUGGUCAAUGGGCGCUAGCCUGAACCAGCCAAGUAGCGUGAAGGAUGAAGGCUCUAUGGGUCGUAAACUUCUUUUAUAUAAGAAUAAAGUGCAGUAUGUAUACUGUUUUGUAUGUAUUAUAUGAAUAAGGAUCGGCUAACUCCGUGCCAGCAGCCGCGGUAAUACGGAGGAUCCGAGCGUUAUCCGGAUUUAUUGGGUUUAAAGGGAGCGUAGGUGGACUGGUAAGUCAGUUGUGAAAGUUUGCGGCUCAACCGUAAAAUUGCAGUUGAUACUGUCAGUCUUGAGUACAGUAGAGGUGGGCGGAAUUCGUGGUGUAGCGGUGAAAUGCUUAGAUAUCACGAAGAACUCCGAUUGCGAAGGCAGCUCACUGGACUGCAACUGACACUGAUGCUCGAAAGUGUGGGUAUCAAACAGGAUUAGAUACCCUGGUAGUCCACACAGUAAACGAUGAAUACUCGCUGUUUGCGAUAUACAGUAAGCGGCCAAGCGAAAGCAUUAAGUAUUCCACCUGGGGAGUACGCCGGCAACGGUGAAACUCAAAGGAAUUGACGGGGGCCCGCACAAGCGGAGGAACAUGUGGUUUAAUUCGAUGAUACGCGAGGAACCUUACCCGGGCUUAAAUUGCAGUGGAAUGAUGUGGAAACAUGUCAGUGAGCAAUCACCGCUGUGAAGGUGCUGCAUGGUUGUCGUCAGCUCGUGCCGUGAGGUGUCGGCUUAAGUGCCAUAACGAGCGCAACCCUUAUCUUUAGUUACUAACAGGUUAUGCUGGGGACUCUAGAGAGACUGCCGUCGUAAGAUGUGAGGAAGGUGGGGAUGACGUCAAAUCAGCACGGCCCUUACGUCCGGGGCUACACACGUGUUACAAUGGGGGGUACAGAAGGCAGCUAGCGGGUGACCGUAUGCUAAUCCCAAAAUCCUCUCUCAGUUCGGAUCGAAGUCUGCAACCCGACUUCGUGAAGCUGGAUUCGCUAGUAAUCGCGCAUCAGCCACGGCGCGGUGAAUACGUUCCCGGGCCUUGUACACACCGCCCGUCAAGCCAUGGGAGCCGGGGGUACCUGAAGUACGUAACCGCAAGGAUCGUCCUAGGGUAAAACUGGUGACUGGGGC
Molecule: ribosomal RNA, 1447 nt
Filed under: uncultured organism
Description: SSU rRNA
Rfam family: Bacterial small subunit ribosomal RNA
Source: RNAcentral